GAUAAUAAAAGGUCGGUUAGCAUUCCCCUUUUCAGAUUUAAUUCGAAAUCGCUCGCACAAUUAAAAGCCCUUGGCAGGCAUUCGCCAAUUUUCACGUAUUAUGAACAUACAUACAUACAUAUAUAUGUAUGCAUGCACAUACAUAAUAUACAUACAUACGUACUUAAAUUUUUCACAGGAGGCAUGACUAGAGAUUCGCACAUAUGUACAUACAUAUGUAAUUAGAUAUGUAUACAUUCUGGUAUAUGUACUCUUCAAGAAGAAGUGCAAUGAAGUGAAAUGGACUGGCUUGAGCGGACAAACAUACAUAUGUACAUAUAAAUUUACAAAUUAUAUUAUUCCAAUGUUAUUGAA
This is a long non-coding RNA of Drosophila mojavensis, 354 nucleotides long. RefSeq lists it as uncharacterized. The record is from RefSeq and is a predicted model, not a curated record. NCBI's taxonomy places the organism in Eukaryota, Metazoa, Arthropoda, Insecta, Diptera, Drosophilidae. The transcript is spliced from 2 exons.